Molecule: non-coding RNA, 94 nt
Organism: Mycena epipterygia
Lineage: Eukaryota; Fungi; Basidiomycota; Agaricomycetes; Agaricales; Mycenaceae
Source: the annotation of a GenBank genome assembly
GACUCGGUGGCGGAUGGUCCGCGUCUGCGCCUACUGUGUAGGCAGCUCUGGCAUAUUUCAGCAGAAGGCGCCUGUUCGAAUCAGGUUCGAGUCA